UUUUUACUAUUAUUAUUAUUUAAAAUUGUCCAAGCUGCUCUGCAACCGUCGGACAACAGUAUAAUUCUGUAAGCCUGGAACCUGUACAGACUGCAUGGUACAGGUUUGGUGAAGAAGUUCGACCAGUACUUGGGAGAAAUGUUUCCCGAACCUGGUUAGAAGACGACAUUGUGGUUCACCUUCAACUUGAGUUUGCGGAGGUUACUGAUGAGGACUCUGGAGAAUACACCUGCAAGAUGGAGAAUCAGUAUGGUUUUAUUGAAAAAACUGUUACUUUGAAAAUUAUAAAUGGAACAAAGGCUCUCACAACUAAAGGCGAAGAAAAGAGAGAAGCUAGAUGAGAGCUAGAUAUUCAGAAAUCUAAGAAAUUCUGCAUCAAACUAUUUGACUAACAGGAAU
Long non-coding RNA from Eurytemora carolleeae, 399 nucleotides. RefSeq lists it as uncharacterized. The record is from RefSeq and is a predicted model, not a curated record. The transcript has 5 exons. NCBI's taxonomy places the organism in Eukaryota, Metazoa, Arthropoda, Copepoda, Calanoida, Temoridae.